Long non-coding RNA from Canis lupus familiaris (dog), 1524 nucleotides. RefSeq lists it as uncharacterized. The transcript is spliced from 4 exons. NCBI's taxonomy places the organism in Eukaryota, Metazoa, Chordata, Mammalia, Carnivora, Canidae. The record is from RefSeq and is a predicted model, not a curated record.
CCAUGACUGAGCAGGGGGCUGGGACAUCUUCCUGCAACCGGGCCUGACUGCUGGCCACUGUGAGCAGAGAGGGAGUGGGCUCCAGGCUCAGCAGUGCCAGGGUGACUCCCCACUCUGGUGAAGCAAUUAAGGACAUUUUCAAGUGCUGAGUGGCUGCCGGCAGGCAGCUUUGACCAGGCCCUGAUGGAGGAGGGGAGGAAACAGAGGUUCAAUAACAUUAGGCCGUUUCAGAGAUGCAGCUGGGAUUUGAAGGCAGCUCUGAGUUCACAACCACUUCAUCUACUGUCUCUGGGAGAUUGGCGUGGCCUGUCGGAGUGCCCCGGGUCCCUGAGGAAGGGGACUGGGUCAGGGGAAGACUCUGGAGAUGCACCUGCAAUCUGUUCUCAACAAAUCAGCCAGAGAGGGAUCCUGCGGAACAGGAAUCAGCUGUGUGUCGCUCUUCUGCUCAAAGGUCUUCAACAGUUCCCACCUCAAAGUAAAACCCAAUAGCCUAUAAAGCCCCCUUUACCUCCCUGGUUAAAUUUAUCCAUGAUAUUUUAUCUUUUGUGGUGUAACUGUAUCCCCCUCACCUCUCUGAACUCACCUCCUACUGCUUUCCCUCUCGUCUACUGCACUCCAGCUACCCGGACCCCCUGGCUCUCCUGGAGCACAUUAGGCCUCCUCUCACCUCAGGGCCUUUGCACGUGCUACUUCUGCUGCUUGGUUCAAGUCCUAGCUCGGCUACUUCUUCAUUAUGUCCCUCUCUGAGCCUCACAUCCCUCUUCUAUAAUUGGGUUAAUGCUGUACACCCCACCUCCCUCUCCAGGCUAACAGGAUCCCGAUGACAAAGCAGGCAACAGACGAAGCCCUCCCUCCAGCUCUAGGCGAUCCCUGCAAGAGGGCUCGUAAAGGUCCUCACUGCGUCCUUGAGAAAACAGGCCCUUUGAUGAGCAGUGGGCUCUGGGCCCCCAGACCUUAAGCUGGAUCGACACGCUGGAGCCUCCCAGCCUGCAAAUCCUUGGGACUUACAGAUGCUGGAAAAGCAAGUGUUAAAUAAUAAUCACGAUGUGUCGGAGGGGAAGCCGGAUGUGUUGGAAAGCUUGACACAUCUGGCAGGGCCAGGCCCAAGUCCCCCGGCACAUCUGGCUGCUGUAUUGACAGGUGGUGCAGUGGGUCACUGAGGAAGGGCCUGGCGGGCCCAGUCCUGGUGCCACAAGCUGGGGGAGGGAUUUGGGGGAUGAUGGCCGGAUGUAGCCCGGGAGCAUCUCCAACGCUGCCCAUGGGCCAUAGCCCUCCUGCGGGUCACCUCUGGGCCGUCCACUGUCCCUUGGUGUCUGUGCUCUAAGAGGCCACCUUGGGACCCAGAACCUGGUCUGCCAGAUUCCCAAACCCCUGCAACAUUGUGUCGGCGCCAGCCACCCCUGCGGGGGCUUGGAGAGUCAGGAAAGCCUCCCUCCCUUCUCCAGCUGGGGGGUGGGGUGGGAUGGAUUUUCGGGGUCACUUCAUGUCGCACUUCCCUUUCUAUGAGAUCCAGAAAUGUGGUCA